This 398-nucleotide ribosomal RNA is filed under the name uncultured bacterium. RNAcentral's name for it is "partial 16S ribosomal RNA". It matches the Rfam family "Bacterial small subunit ribosomal RNA", at positions 338 to 754 of the family's 1533-position model. The record is from RNAcentral.
CCUACGGGAGGCAGCAGUGGGGAAUAUUGCACAAUGGGCGAAAGCCUGAUGCAGCAACGCCGCGUGAGCGAUGAAGGCCUUCGGGUCGUAAAGCUCUGUCCUCAAGGAAGAUAAUGACGGUACUUGAGGAGGAAGCCCCGGCUAACUACGUGCCAGCAGCCGCGGUAAUACGUAGGGGGCGAGCGUUAUCCGGACUUACUGGGCGUAAAGGGGGCGUAGGUGGUUUCGUAAGUCAGAGGUGAACGGCUACGGCUCAACCGUAGGAAGCCUUUGCAAGGGGGGAACUUGAGUGCAGGAGAGGCGAGUCGAAUUCCUAGUGUAGCGGUGAACUGCGUCGGUAUUAGGAGGGCCCCCAGUUGCGAAGGCGUCUCUCUGGACUGUACCUGACACUGCGGCAC